AUACUGAGGAGAACUGAGAGAGGCUAGGUAGCUCCCGGUGCUUCCCCAGGCCCCCAGCCCCAUCCCUCAGCUGAGGACUGCACCUUCCUCUCCCACCCAGGCUGUACCUGUCACUGCCCUCCACUCCACCAGGCUCAGCACACAGUAGGGCCUUAGUCAGUUUGCCCUUAUGCCUGUAUGCUCUGGGCAGAUUCAAAGCACUUUCCCCUAAUUACCCACAGGGCGCCAUCUCUCCACCACUACCCCUAUGCACACACACUCCCAUUGGGGCUGGGGAGAGUUCCCCCGACCCUGGACCCAAAUCAGGCACUUCGACCUGAGCGAGCCCCUCCUGUGCCUCAUUGACCCACUCGAAGUCCAUUUAUUCUUCCUUUUGACACAGUCCUGAUGCCUUGGGUGCUUCCAUUUCCUAGGCUGGAGGUGAAUUAGAAAGAUGCAUGGGAGGAGAGAGGGCCCAGGAAGAGAGAAGACAGGUGGUAAGUUGGUUUUGUCGAUAACAUUUGCAGCCAAAUUUCAAGGGAGGCCCUAGAGCCACUGUAUAACACAGACGUGACACCUAUGGGGCGCUUGUUGAAGGACACGCGGAUGCUCUGCUGGUUUGGUGGCUGUGAUGACUUCAUGCAAAUGGAAGCUACAUUUGUAUGACACUUUGUUAAAGCAAAUUAGGUAUAAAUAAAGAUUCAUGCCCAAA
RNAcentral lists this long non-coding RNA (691 nucleotides) under Homo sapiens (human). Its description in RNAcentral is "novel transcript". Lineage: Eukaryota; Metazoa; Chordata; Mammalia; Primates; Hominidae. The record is from RNAcentral.